UGAUCUAGCCAUGCCGCGUGAGUGAUGAAGGCCUUAGGGUCGUAAAGCUCUUUCGCCUGUGAUGAUAAUGACAGUAGCAGGUAAAGAAACCCCGGCUAACUCCGUGCCAGCAGCCGCGGUAAUACGGAGGGGGUUAGCGUUGUUCGGAAUUACUGGGCGUAAAGCGCACGUAGGCGGAUUGGAAAGUUGGGGGUGAAAUCCCGGGGCUCAACCCCGGAACUGCCUCCAAAACUAUCAGUCUAGAGUUCGAGAGAGGUGAGUGGAAUUCCAAGUGUAGAGGUGAAAUUCGUAGAUAUUUGGAGGAACACCAGUGGCGAAGGCGGCUCACUGGCUCGAUACUGACGCUGAGGUGCGAAAGUGUGGGGAGCAAACAGGAUU
This 378-nucleotide ribosomal RNA is filed under the name uncultured Gammaproteobacteria bacterium. RNAcentral's name for it is "bacterial SSU rRNA". It matches the Rfam family "Bacterial small subunit ribosomal RNA", at positions 384 to 779 of the family's 1533-position model. Lineage: Bacteria; Pseudomonadati; Pseudomonadota; Gammaproteobacteria. The record is from RNAcentral.